GCGAAUAAAGAAGGGUUUCACACUUAGAUUUUAUUGCCGAGAACUCAACAGCUGAUAAAUUCAGCGAAAUGUUCUACAAGUUUUCGGCAGAAUUUUCAAGAACUUCGGCAAACGAAACGUCAAUACUUUCUGGUUUACAGUAAAUCGAUAUAUUUGCUGAAUGUUCGUCGAAAUAUAUAUUUCUGACAUUCUUUAAAAACCGAGUUUGCCGAGAUAAAUUAAGUGUGUUUGACAGCAGUUAGUGCGCUUCCAGGUCAAAACGAGGUGAGCUGGUGGAAUAAAGAAAUUCGCUAUAAGUAAGUGAAGGUUCAAUACUGUGGACACAAUUUUGUUUUGGUUGCGGUAAAUAAAAGCAAAAAGGAAUUUGAAUGAAAUGCCAAGCGUUUGGUUUUAAAACCUACUGUGGUUCCGGUCCGGGCAUUAAAUUUUAUCCAUUUCCCAAGGAUGCAGAAGCUUAUUGUCAGUUGCUAAAAAUAUGCGUGAAUCUGAGAAAGAUAUUCAAAAUUUGAAUAUCCCACGCAAUAGUCGAAUAUGCAGGGACGAUAUUUUUUAUUAUUAUGUUAUUACAACAAACAACUACAUUGUAACGUGUAAUUCUAGAGCAACAUGUCAAAAGGAUCUAUCUCGGAUUUAAUAGUUUUGAGAAAAUCAACCUCGAAGUUUUAGUUUCCUUUUUUAAAUGCUAUUUAACAAUUGAAACCAAUUUUCUAUUUUUUUAACGCAGAAAUAAUUACGAACAUGUAAACUUUAAUAUAUUUAAAUAUUUUCGUUGAAAACCCAUCAAUAUUACUGAAAAAAUUAGAUGUUUACGAACUGAAUUAUGAAAAGUCCCUUUAAACUUGUAAAAUAGACUUAGACCCUUUUGUUAGAUCCAAUGUUUGUUUUGAUUCUGAGUUAGCUCAUUUCAGAUGUACCCUUUGGUAGAUUGUCAUUUUAGUUAGGUUUUUUGAAUCCGACUAAACUAAACUGAAAUUUUCUUUGAAAAAACCGAAACAGUUUUAUACCGAGUAGUUUUCAGUGAAAAUUGUAUCGAUCAAGUUAUCAAGUGAAACCCCCAUGCGAAUGUAUAAUAAUUGGUACUAUAGUUGGCUUCUACGAUGAGUGAUAAUUGAAAUGCAUCUUGAAAUGUGAAACCCGUUAGUGUCAUUCUCUACAAAUCCUAGGAUUUAAAGGACCAGAAUUUAGAAAAGACUGUAGAGAGCGGUUUUCACGGAACAGAAGGUUGUAUUUGUGCUGAGAGUUGGAAAUGGAUUGAAUUGUUCAUGUUUCACUAAUAAUAUAAGUACGGGUGAAAGAGAAGACGCUCUGCUUUACGUGCAGUACAGUGAAAAGUGUAACGAGUACAGUUCAAACUGGUUCAAAUAGAAAAAGUGGUGAUCAAGGUGUUAGGAACUAAAACAGUGGCAUAUCAUAAGUUUUUUAUUCAAAAUUUGUUUUUGUAAGGACAAGAGUGUUUAAUCAUUUAAUAAACAUUUAUUGCUC
Wyeomyia smithii (pitcher-plant mosquito) is the source of this 1482-nucleotide long non-coding RNA. RefSeq lists it as uncharacterized. Lineage: Eukaryota; Metazoa; Arthropoda; Insecta; Diptera; Culicidae. The transcript is spliced from 2 exons. The record is from RefSeq and is a predicted model, not a curated record.